CAGCAGCCGCGGUAAUACGAAGGGGGCUAGCGUUGCUCGGAAUGACUGGGCGUAAAGGGCGCGUAGGCGGUUCGUACAGUUGGAUGUGAAAUUCCUGGGCUUAACCUGGGGGCUGCAUUCAAUACGUGCGGGAUAGAUUGUGGAAGAGGGUUGUGGAAUUCCCAGUGUAGAGGUGAAAUUCGUAGAUAUUGGGAAGAACACCGGUGGCGAAGGCGGCAACCUGGUCCAUAAUUGACGCUGAGGCGCGAAAGCGUGGGGAGCAAACAGGAUUAGAUACCCGAGUAGUCCCUGUCUCUUAUAC
RNAcentral lists this ribosomal RNA (301 nucleotides) under uncultured bacterium. RNAcentral's name for it is "partial 16S ribosomal RNA". It matches the Rfam family "Bacterial small subunit ribosomal RNA", at positions 509 to 807 of the family's 1533-position model. The record is from RNAcentral.